AAGUCGUAACAAGGUCUCCGUAGGUGAACCUGCGGAGGGAUCAUUACCGAGUUCAUGCCCUUACGGGUAGAUCUCCCACCCUAUGUUAUAUUACCUUUGUUGCUUUGGCGGGCCGACAGGCUUCGGUCAGUCUACCGGCUCCGGCUGGUAAGCGUCCGCCAGAGGACCCCAAACUCUGAAUUUUAGUGUCGUCUGAGUACUAUCUAAUAGUUAAAACUUUCAACAACGGAUCUCUUGGUUCUG
Molecule: unclassified non-coding RNA, 243 nt
Filed under: Hyaloscyphaceae sp.
Lineage: Eukaryota; Fungi; Ascomycota; Leotiomycetes; Helotiales; Hyaloscyphaceae
Description: partial contains small subunit ribosomal RNA, internal transcribed spacer 1, and 5.8S ribosomal RNA
Rfam family: Eukaryotic small subunit ribosomal RNA (bases 1-46)
Source: RNAcentral